Long non-coding RNA from Cydia splendana, 571 nucleotides. RefSeq lists it as uncharacterized. The record is from RefSeq and is a predicted model, not a curated record. The transcript is spliced from 2 exons. NCBI's taxonomy places the organism in Eukaryota, Metazoa, Arthropoda, Insecta, Lepidoptera, Tortricidae.
ACAUGAAGGAUUGUAAGACUGUGGAUACUCCUCUAGUUAAAAAGAAUAUGGAAAGAAGAACUGAUGGUCAAGAAGGAAGAGUGGAGAACCUUUAAAAGGCUUUAGUGACGCGGACUGGGCAAAUUGUCCGAUUGACAGAAGGUCGUACACUGGAUACACCUUCAAGUUAAGUGGAGGUCCAGUAUCCUGGGAGUCCAAGAAGCAGCCUACAGUGGCUUUAUCUUCAGCCGAAUCGGAAUAUAUGGCACUAGCGUCUGCCACGAAGGAAGCAUGCUACUUACGACGGUUUAUCUAUGAGAUAACAGGUACAUAUAGUUCAUUUAGCUUCUGACAGUCAGAGUGCCAUCAACCUCGUUCGAAAUCCUGUACACCACAACAGGACGAAACAUAUAGAUACCAGAUUUCACUUUAUUAGGGAAAAGGUCUCAAAUAAUGUUGUUAAAUUAGAAUACAUCAAAAGUAGUGAUAUGCCUGCCGAUGUACUAACGAAGCCACUAGGACCUAUAGUACAUAAACGGUGUAUACUUAACUUAGGAAUAGAGACUUAAGUUUUUUUGUUUUGUGUUUGUCU